This 250-nucleotide ribosomal RNA is filed under the name uncultured bacterium. Its description in RNAcentral is "partial 16S ribosomal RNA". It matches the Rfam family "Bacterial small subunit ribosomal RNA", at positions 524 to 773 of the family's 1533-position model. The record is from RNAcentral.
UACGUAGGGUGCGAGCGUUAAUCGGAAUUACUGGGCGUAAAGCGUGCGUAGGCGGUUGGCAAAGUCAGCUGUGAAAGCCCCGGGCUUAACCUGGGAAUGGCGGUUGAAACUAGUCGACUCGAAUCUGGCAGAGGGGGGUGGAAUUCCACGUGUAGCAGUGAAAUGCGUAGAGAUGUGGAGGAACACCGAUGGCGAAGGCAGCCCCCUGGGCUGAGAUUGACGCUCAGGCACGAAAGCGUGGGGAGCAAAC